AAAGCAAUCUACGAAAACUCUUCCAUGAGAAAGUUAGUCUACGGUAUUUGAACCGAAUUUCUCUCAUCCUUCUUCCUCUCAGCUCAGGAAGACAGAGUCUCUUCUCUGACCGGCUGCAACCAAGAACCCUGAGUUCCUCUUUUCACAGCUCCCGUCGUCGGUCAGAGGAACCGGAAGUCAGCAUUUCCUAUCUUGCUUCUCGCGGCCGUGGGCUCAGGCUGGUGUGGGCAAACAAAAUCUCUGAGCUCUCACGUGGCUCUAAUCCAUUCUGAAUACCACAGUGGAAGAUCUGGCCAAAUUAUUUCCUUGGGGAACCUCCAAGAUAAGUAUUUUCAUUUUUCCUUUUAAAUUGGUGACAUUUAGCAAAAAUGACUCUUCUCAUCUCCUGCUUACAGAGGAAAGGCCUGGCUAUCAGGGCUCCCAGUGUGCAGCAGGAAAAGAUUGAUGAGCUUUCUUAAUUAUUAAUAGUAGGCAUACCUUAUCUUAGUCGACACUUUUGACCUCUCUUUCCCUGAUGGAAAUCCUUUCUUCCUUUGUCUUGAGGACCCGACUCUCUCCAGAUUUACCUCCCACUUCUCUGAUCAUCUUUUCACUGUCUCUUUGUAGACCUCAAUUCCAUUGUUUGCCCUUCAAAUAUUGGCUCUGUCCUUGACUCUCCUCUUUUUGUCAACCAGAAUUUCAUUAUCUAUUUUUUUUAGUGACCAUACAUCCCUUGGCUGUGUUUCUCUAGUUCCUGUGUCCAUCCAGGCUCUGCCAUGGUCUGUUAGAGUUCUACCUGUUGUCUUCCUUUACAAAGCACCAAAGGCGUGUGUUGAGUGCAGAGUUUGACAGAGAGAGGUAGUCAAGGUCAGAGGAGAG
This is a non-coding RNA of Microcebus murinus (gray mouse lemur), 858 nucleotides long. Lineage: Eukaryota; Metazoa; Chordata; Mammalia; Primates; Cheirogaleidae. The record is from RefSeq and is a predicted model, not a curated record.